Long non-coding RNA from Myripristis murdjan (pinecone soldierfish), 1625 nucleotides. RefSeq lists it as uncharacterized. The record is from RefSeq and is a predicted model, not a curated record. The transcript has 4 exons. NCBI's taxonomy places the organism in Eukaryota, Metazoa, Chordata, Actinopteri, Holocentriformes, Holocentridae.
CUGGAUGUAUUUGAAUUGGCAGAGUGGAACAACUUUUAUUCCUCUCACUUCAUGAAGUCCAAAACAUGCUGUGUUUGGGGUGGGGACUUUUUCAAAGUUGUGGCAGCAAUGAAGCAACCCUUCAUUAUUUUAGGAGAGGAAUUCCUGAUAUGUUUUGUUUUGUUUUGUUUUUUGUUUUUGGUCCAGCGUAUUGAUCGCAUAAAGUUCCCUGCUGUGUGCUGACAGGUAGGUCAGCUCUUUGGAAUGAAAAGGAGUUGGAUAAGGCACCGGUCCUGACAGUGACGAGUACACUCCUGCAGCUCUUUGUGUCUUCAAACAGGCGUGUCAGGACAGGCAGAGGUCUGAGGUAUGCCUCCCCAGCUGCAGCCGCUCCCCAGCCUCUCUUCCCUGAGCUCUGUGGAUCGGUUUUCCUUCCCUGUGGCUACGCAUUUCUCCCCUCCUUAUCUGUCUACUCAAGCCUGGUCUUAACUAGUGAGGAACAUAGCAAGGAACAGUUCAUUUACAUUUGAUUUUGAAAGUUGAAAGAUAAUGUUCCUUUCCUUUGUCUCUUUGUGUGAUUAUUUAAAGUGUUCAUGCUUUCCAACAGUCAGGUUUGAGUGUGAAUCACUGAAGGUUUACUCCCUCUGUCUCCACUCCUGCAUCCUAAAGUCUGACAAUGCUCACACUCAGUUUUACGUUUCUAAAGCCCUACAUAGUCUUCAGAUGAUUCCUGCUUUUCAGAAGAUGUUUGUCAGCCACUGAACAGCGCAAAAAAUGACUAGGCUUUGCACGCUUCUGUGUCUCUCAGAGCUGGCAGAGUCAGACAAAUUGUGCUGCUGCAUCAUUUCAUUCAAAGACUAACAGUAAACUCUAGAUGUUGUCAGCAGAAACAAGCAUAGAACGAUCUGCUUUGUCAUCUCUCUAUAUGGUGAUUUAAGUGAAUAUCAUACUGUGCAGACUGCUUAGGUAUCUUUGACUUUCAGCUUUAUAUUCCUGGAAAACCACUGCAUAUUUUCUUUCAUUGUGGAGAGCCAUGCAUUCACACUUGGCUGACUAACUCUGCUGCUGACCUGCUCUUGGCCUCCCUGUCUCAUUUUUGACUGCUUUUUGGGGCUUUUUGGGUCUGAUCAUGCUCCGCAUCAUAGAGUUUAACCCUGCCUCUACAUUAUUGUACAAUGUAUCUCACCUCUAACAGAGUCAACCAGCUCCAAACCUGUAUCACAAUCCCAUCAUGUGGACAUAAUGAGCAAUUUAUUCAUACACAAUGAUAAGAAGUAAUUCAAACAAACAAAGCAAAAUAUCAGAAAUAAAAUGGUAUUGACUUUACUAAUUUUGCACAACAUCUAAACUCUCCUGAGCGGCUGCCCAAUGAUUGAGCAGUAAAAUUUCCCCAGAAAUGUCCUGAAAUGUUUUGAAUUCAUGUCCAAUUGAUGAUCAAAGUGUUAAGUUAGAAUUUUGCCUAUAAAUGCAAAUGAGAAAAAUGUUAUUUACCAAGGAAGGGAGUGUAUAUCCUGACAAAUGUAAAUAUGCAACCAAUACAACCCCUCUAAAUAUACUUUAGAUGCUGCAAAAUAUUGAACAAAGCUCAGUGAUGAAAAAAAAAAAAAAAAGACAAUGCACACCUAUGGCCUUUUUAUAGACAGAUG